This 204-nucleotide ribosomal RNA is filed under the name Klebsiella pneumoniae. RNAcentral describes it as "partial 16S ribosomal RNA". It matches the Rfam family "Bacterial small subunit ribosomal RNA", at positions 362 to 558 of the family's 1533-position model. Lineage: Bacteria; Pseudomonadati; Pseudomonadota; Gammaproteobacteria; Enterobacterales; Enterobacteriaceae. The record is from RNAcentral.
UAUUGCACAAUGGGCGCAAGCCUGAUGCAGCCAUGCCGCGUGUGUGAAGAAGGCCUUCGGGUUGUAAAGCACUUUCAGCGGGGAGGAAGGCGAUAAGGUUAAUAACCUUGUCGAUUGACGUUACCCGCAGAAGAAGCACCGGCUAACUCCGUGCCAGCAGCCGCGGUAAUACGGAGGGUGCAAGCGUUAAUCGGAAUUACUGGG